RNAcentral lists this non-coding RNA (256 nucleotides) under Oscillibacter sp. RNAcentral's name for it is "T-box sequence". It matches the Rfam family "T-box leader". From Rfam's summary of the family: Uncharged tRNA acts as the effector for transcription antitermination of genes in the T-box leader family. T-boxes are found upstream of many aminoacyl-tRNA synthetase genes and some amino acid biosynthetic genes usually in Gram-positive bacteria. The record is from RNAcentral. Lineage: Bacteria; Bacillati; Bacillota; Clostridia; Eubacteriales; Oscillospiraceae.
ACAGAUACGAUGACAGGGAAAAAGUCCUCCUGGAGCGCUUCAGAGAGCCGCCGGUCGCUGCGAGGCGGCGCGGAAGGGAAAAGGACGUCACUGGCCCUCGAGUAUUCCCGCUGAGCCGUUGGGGUUAGGCGGGAACGGGUUUCCCCACCGUUACCAAAGGGGCGGGAUUCGCGCGGCGGCGCCGUACCGAUUCCGGGAGCGGGCAGUUUUUGCCAAUGAGAGUGGUACCGCGGAAGUUUGGGCUUUCGUCUCUUCA